Molecule: non-coding RNA, 3266 nt
Organism: Lolium perenne
Lineage: Eukaryota; Viridiplantae; Streptophyta; Magnoliopsida; Poales; Poaceae
Source: RefSeq, a predicted model, not a curated record
AUGAAAAUAUCAAGGCUCAGCCGCCGCCAUGUCCUCUAUGGGUGUGCUCCAGGUAGGUCCUUCUCCAAGAGUUUCAUCGGAUCCUCUCAUGUAUCUUACGAUGGUCAGGCCCAGUUUUUUCCCCAGUUUUUUCCCCCACGUCUUGAUCUAGAGCUGCUAAAUCGGUGGAUCGAGCAGAUCAGGUCGAGCAGAUCAACGACCAGACGAUCCCGGCGAUUGGCGUCCAGACGGCGACCAUGAAGUCCGUGUCCCAAACGACAAACAAAGCAAUCAGUCUGUAGGUAUCAUUCUACAUCUAUGGUACAAGUAUGAGGAUAACACCAUUCUAUUGGUAACCUGAGGACUCUGAAGUCUCGACUUUGGACAUGCCAAUAAAGGUCCUUGUCAUUCAAUUCAAAAGGUAUACAAAAUAUCACCCUGUCCAUUCAACUGAUCAUGUUUGCUAUAGACAUCACGUUUGCUUUGUUUCAUGAUAAUCAUAACUAAGCUGUUAUCUAGGGCGUUCUUUGUCCUCCGAUUACUCCUAGCAAACACACUUGCAGAUAGUUUUUCUUCUUUCUAACCGUUUUUCUGUUGUAACAAUUCAGUAGCAACAAUGAUAUGUAUUUACUGAUGUGAUGAGGCAUACCAUAGUCAUAUAUUAUAGAUGUGCGUAUUGUUUCUCCGGCUAGCGGUUCACCCGUUUGGAGACUAUCCAGUAUUGAUCCCGCUUUUCAACUGGCUGACCAACGAUGCAUAUAUACAUCCUCUCCCAAGAAUUCAUUGCCUCCCUAUCUAAGAAAUAUCAUGCGAGAUUUCUCUUUGUCAUCAUAUUUGGUAUUAAUCUGAUAUGGUAUUGAUCGCAGGGGACAUAGAAAGAAGUGACCUAGCAAUAAGACUGAUGCCUUCUAAUUAAUAUUGUCUCCACGCUGGAACUACAGUCAAAAUAUGUACUUUUCCCGAAGUCAUUAAUUCCAUCCUUCUAACUAGGACUGUAUCUAAUCACAUACAUUCACCAAUGGUUAUCGAAGUACCGUGGUGCCUAGCUAGGUUUGAUAUUUAAUAGAUGUCAAAGUACGUGUGCUCACUCGGCGUCUCUAUACAGAAAAAUCGAGCGGUCCUCUUACAUCAGGUUUGCAAGCGCCGCUGGGAACUGCUAAUUGUUGUCUUUCAUGCACGUCCCCAGAAAUUUCUAGGUACUCCAUCAAGUGUGAACGUAUCCAACAAUACCCUGGUACAAUUUCUAGGAACCAUUACAUCAUGAUGAUUAAUAUCACUCGGUUUUACUAUUAUCACCUUCAAAAAUAUUUUCUGGUGGACACCCCAAUAGCAAAGACCAGAUCGAGUAGUCCUUCCAUCCCCUCAAGCAUCCCCAUUAUCAAAUCUUUUUUAUCUAUUUGUCUCCGGUCUUCUACCAUUUGAUAACGGCUAUCAUCUAAUUACAUGGUUCUCCUGUAUUUCCUUAGCAUUCUUAAAUCCCUUCAAUCUAUCUUCCCAACCCCGUACAACUAAAAGUUUAUCUUAUGAAAAGUGCCAAUGGUACAAUAUUUGGAUGCUGAUAGGAUGAGAUAUCCAGCAAAAAUGUAUCCUUGUAGAUGAUGCAUGUUAAUAUUGAAGGCUACUCUGAUUUCUGUUAUGAUUUAACAUGUCAAAGAAAUAUAUGUUUAUAUAGAUAAUCCCUGUUUACUUUCCGCUUCCCUUGAUUUCUUUAAGGAUUAAACAUAUCGGGGGAAUAUGUUUAUUGAUGGAUAAUGACUAUGAACAUUUAGUUUCCCACAUGUACCUACUACAGAAAGAUAAUAGAAUUACAAUACUACAAACUUCUGAUGAAACAAAUAAUAUUAAGUGUAAUACCGUUCUGCAGUGAUCCUCUUGUGCUUUCCAGAUAGCAAGAAAACAACUUGACACAACAAACAAGCAAUGACCUUUUGAAUCGAUAGAUCCUGUAGACUAAUAUCUUUUGUUGGCAAAAAAAGCAAUGUAGCAACUAUGAUUCUCCUGCAGGAUUAAUUAAUAUAAUGAUUUUGUUAGACAUUUUGGAAUAGGCUUUGGAAUUAGUAGUGACCUGACUGGUAAAACACAACUCAGACGUUUAUUUUUCUAUCACCUCCUAAGUCUCUCAAGGCUGUUAUUGGCUCAUCGGAGAUUAAUAUUUUGCUAUAGAGAUGGAACAAAAUGCUAAUGUCAAGAAACAACACGGCAGCCUGUAAUCUUCUAUCACGUUUUCAGGCACUUGCAACAUGAUAUUGCUAAAUUAUUACCAUCGUUAUCCAAAGAUCAAUUACUGCAAGAAGGUAUGCGGCCUUUACAGAAAUAGUGUUUUUUUAGUUCAGCAGAACUUUACAGGAUCUUGAUCUAUGAGUCUAAACAAACUAUCCUUUGUUUUUAUCUUUAUAUAUGAUAUAAAAAACAGGAGGGAGUGGCAAAACAAAAACCAAAUAGGCUUGCUAAUGCUAUGUGUAGAAAUCAUUUAAUCUCUGAAAUAACUUAAAGGGAAUGGCAAAAAGUUAUGAGCUACGUAUACAGUAGACCUUAUCAUGAAAGCUACCUGAAGCUGCAAGCGCAGUAUGAAGCUGACACUGAGGUUAAAUCAAAUAGGAAAUAUGAGAGGAAGAAAUGCAGAAUAGCAUCAUCUCAUAUCACAACCAACUGUAUUGGUAAUUCCUUUGCAGAAUCGACACCAGAAAAACAAAAUACAGGAUGGUACCGAUUCAUGGCAGCGUCUUGGACGAUUCAAACCAGCAAUAUGCACGAGGACCUCUUGUCUUCUCAAAGUAGACAGCCGGCGACCUGCGCUCUGCAAACCUCGCGCGCUCCUGGUCAGAUCGAAGGUGCCUCACCCUCAUCAGCCCAGACCUCAGCUAUGGUACUCCAUCAACAAUACAUCAUGCCCCAUUUGAAGGCUCAAUUUGUAGGCAACGAAGACCAUGACAUACAAGAUUCCGGUGGAUUGCUGGGACGAGUGAAGACAACCAGAUUUCUAAAUUUCUGGGAGCGGAGACAACCAGAUUCCUAAAUUUGGAGACAAGCGGUGGACAAAGGGAAAAGGGGAGAAGAGGAACCGUGAGCAAUCGGAUGUCUAUCUCGAGAGUCAAGUAAAAUUAUACUAUUCUUUAUUUUUUUAGCAAACCACUUAUCUCAAAGUAAGACAAGGCGCAAUACGUAUCUCAUGUAAAACCAUAAACUUCGGUAACAUACUCUGUGUACUCUGCCUUCUGUAAUAAGGAAAGGCGCAACAAGUAAGCUACUCGCUCCAUGCACUUCUACCUUCUAUAAUAGUUUUUUAU